AGUGAACGCUGGCGGUAGGCCUAACACAUGCAAGUCGAACGGCAGCACAGUGAGAGCUUGCUCUUACGGGUGGCGAGUGGCGGACGGGUGAGGAAUACAUCGGAAUCUACUUUUUCGUGGGGGAUAACGUAGGGAAACUUACGCUAAUACCGCAUACGACCUACGGGUGAAAGCAGGGGAUCUUCGGACCUUGCGCGACUGAAUGAGCCGAUGUCGGAUUAGCUAGUUGGCGGGGUAAAGGCCCACCAAGGCGACGAUCCGUAGCUGAUCUGAGAGGAUGAUCAGCCACACUGGAACUGAGACACGGUCCAGACUCCUACGGGAGGCAGCAGUGGGGAAUAUUGGACAAUGGGCGCAAGCCUGAUCCAGCAAUACCGCGUGGGUGAAGAAGGCCUUCGGGUUGUAAAGCCCUUUUGUUGGGAAAGAAAAGCAGCAGGUUAAUACCCCGCUGUUCUGACGGUACCCAAAGAAUAAGCACCGGCUAACUUCGUG
Molecule: ribosomal RNA, 492 nt
Filed under: uncultured bacterium
Lineage: Bacteria
Description: partial 16S ribosomal RNA
Rfam family: Bacterial small subunit ribosomal RNA
Source: RNAcentral